RNAcentral lists this ribosomal RNA (527 nucleotides) under uncultured bacterium. Its description in RNAcentral is "bacterial SSU rRNA". It matches the Rfam family "Bacterial small subunit ribosomal RNA", at positions 777 to 1302 of the family's 1533-position model. The record is from RNAcentral.
AAUAGAUACCCAGGUAGUCCACGCCGUAAACGAUGAGUGCUAAGUGUUAGAGGGUUUCCGCCCUUUAGUGCUGCAGCUAACGCAUUAAGCACUCCGCCUGGGGAGUACGGCCGCAAGGCUGAAACUCAAAGGAAUUGACGGGGGCCCGCACAAGCGGUGGAGCAUGUGGUUUAAUUCGAAGCAACGCGAAGAACCUUACCAGGUCUUGACAUCCUCUGACAGCCCUAGAGAUAGGGCUUUCCCCUUCGGGGGACAGAGUGACAGGUGGUGCAUGGUUGUCGUCAGCUCGUGUCGUGAGAUGUUGGGUUAAGUCCCGCAACGAGCGCAACCCUUGAUCUUAGUUGCCAGCAUUCAGUUGGGCACUCUAAGGUGACUGCCGGUGACAAACCGGAGGAAGGUGGGGAUGACGUCAAAUCAUCAUGCCCCUUAUGACCUGGGCUACACACGUGCUACAAUGGAUGGUACAAAGGGCUGCAAACCUGCGAAGGUAAGCGAAUCCCAUAAAGCCAUUCUCAGUUCGGAUUGCG